UGUGUUAUUGCUUGCUGCAACUGUUUUAUGAUUACCACAAUAAAUGGAGCUUUAAAGCUAAAAGCUAACCACUUUUAAUGUAAUCAGCACCGCAAAUCUCUCUCUGAGGAACUCCUUUUUCCUUGAAAAAAUGAAGCUUUUUUCAGUUAUGAAAUACCCACCAUUCAUGGCUACUCCAACGGCUCUGUGUUCCUCAAGAAUGGCUUCUUCUUGUUCAAUUCUCAAUUGGGAAGCUGCGGUUUCAAUGGUUCAAGGAGCUUCCAGAGGAAUUGGACUUGAAUUUGUUAAACAACUUUUGGAAAAGGAUGAGAAAGGGCAUGUCGUUGCAACUUGUCGAAAUCCUGAUAAAGCAACGGGACUCUUCGAUUUGAAAAACAAGUUUGCUGACCGUCUCAACAUUCUACAGCUGGACUUAACUGUUGAAAAAUCUAUAGAGGCAUCUGCAACGUCCAUAAGGGAGAAAUAUGGUUCUUUGAACCUUCUCAUUAAUGCCUCAGGCAUCCUUUCAAUACCCAAUGUCUUGCAACCAGAAACUACCUUGACUAAAGUAGAAAAGUCGUCGUUAAUGCUCGCUUAUGAGGUCAAUGCUGUGGGUCCAAUUCUAGUAAUGAAGCACAUGUGGCCUCUUUUGAGGGCUGGAGGGGGCUCAGGCACUCAAAGAGAUGUUGCAGUUGUUGCCAAUUUAAGUGCAAGGGUCGGAUCAAUUGGUGAUAAUCGCUUAGGAGGCUGGCACUCUUAUCGAGCUUCAAAGGCUGCCUUAAAUCAGUUGACGAAAACCAUGUCUGUCGAGCUUGCAAGAAAGAAGGAUCCAGUAGUAUGCAUCCUUUUGCAUCCAGGAACGGUAGACACCGACCUGUCCAAGCCGUUUCAGAGAAAUGUUCCUCAAGACAAACUCUUCAGCAAAGAAUUCUCAGUGCAGAAGCUGUUGCACAUUAUCAACAAUGCAAAAAGCCAUGAUAAUGGAAAAUUCUUUGCCUGGGAUGGCCAGGAAAUUCCUUGGUAACUGAUACUGCUUUAAUCACCAACCAAAUCACAUCAGGUCCUAUAGUAGAUUAUGGCUCAUCGUGGAAUUAUCAUAACGCUGCUGUCUGUUUCUCUAGUUCUUGAUAGUGCUCGGGGAUUUUAAAACAUAGUCAAGUUCUAAGCCUCUAACUCAAUUCAAGCUUGAAUUUCUUUUGAUAGCAUCUCUCGGAAGUUGGAACUACCUUUUUCAAGUAACGAAAUGCAUGGUGUUUCCUUCUCCGUUGGAGGUAUCAUUAUCUCUCGUCAGCUUCUUUGUUGGUUCUUGUGAAUGGUAGUCCUUUGUCUACUUCAGAAACCCGCAAAUUGUAAUGUAAUCCAGAGGUUCACUACGAAUGGUACUCGAACCAAUUUUUACUUUUCAAUUUGCAGAUUAGAGUAUCGGACCAUUUCAGAUAAUUUGAAGCUGACAUGGCAACCAGAUCGGAACCAUGAUCUUUAAGUUGUUUCAUUUCAACGGUUGUCACAUCAGUUUCAAACCAAGGUACUAAUUUAAAGCAAGAUAUAAAGAUUUGGAUCAUUGUUAUCUAGAAAUUUAAAUCAAAGGUAGCUGUGCAGAUAUGUUUUUUGCCCUUUUCCUCCGAAAGAUGGUUCUUAUUAAAUUUAGGGAAAUUUUUACCUACUCCCGGUCCAUGAAUUUUCCAUGCACCUACCCAAUAAAGUGUUAGAAAAUCUAAUACAAUACUCUAUCUCUUCUUAUUAUUUUCUUUUUGUUCUCAUUUCUCUAACACCUUAUUGGAUAGGUCCAUAAAUUUUUCAUGGACCGGGUCUAGGUAAGAACUUCCCUUAAAUUUAUUUUUCAAUGUGUCCCUAUUUAUAGUAUGUCUUUAUUUCACAUGCCAACUACUGUUGUAAGUUUUGUUUUUUAAAGAGUUAUUUCAAAAGGUAAAAGUGCCACAUUAGAAGUUUAAAAGACUACCCCUCUUCGGAGUUGGAUUUGGGUGUGGGUGGAUGUUGCAAAUCCGAGGCUUGAUUAAAUUUUUUGUUAUCCGAAAUUAAUUAUUUUUUAUUUUCAUUAUUUAAGCCUUAUAUGAGAAGGCUAUAUUUUGACUAAGUAAAAAACAGUUUUGGUUAAUGUUUAAAAAAUCGGAACAAACUUGGACUGAGCAAUUAAACACGUUUAAUUAA
This is an RNA transcript of Mercurialis annua (annual mercury), 2148 nucleotides long. RefSeq lists it as uncharacterized. The record is from RefSeq and is a predicted model, not a curated record. Lineage: Eukaryota; Viridiplantae; Streptophyta; Magnoliopsida; Malpighiales; Euphorbiaceae. The transcript has 7 exons.